Molecule: ribosomal RNA, 321 nt
Filed under: Triticum aestivum (bread wheat)
Lineage: Eukaryota; Viridiplantae; Streptophyta; Magnoliopsida; Poales; Poaceae
Description: partial small subunit ribosomal RNA
Source: RNAcentral
AUGGACGCUGUUUGUGUCGUGAUUUCCAGAAGAGCAGCAAAUUCAGCCGAAACUAUGUGGUCUACCGUACGCAUACGAACCGACCGUACCGUAUAUACAGGGCCCUGGAGCAGCCCGCCGGCCCUUACCGCCGCCGUGGCGGCCGGGAACAGGCCGGCUCCCGCCUUCCACGUGCCAGCGGAGUCGCUCUCAUCGAGGCGGCGCCGCACCGAAUCCCCCGGUCACGCUAGCGCUGGGUUAUCCGAGGCCGAUACCGGCGCAGGCGGCGGGCGGAUCUUAUCCUUUUUAGAAACGAGGGCAUCCCUGAAAGAUUCUUGCUGA